AGCAGCCGCGGUAAUUCCAGCUCCAAUAGCGUAUAUUAAAGUUGUUGCAGUUAAAAAGCUCGUAGUUGAAUUUCGGGGUUAGUAGGUUGGUCAUGCCUCUGGUAUGUACUGAUCUCACUGAUUCCUCCCUCUUGACGAACUGUAAUGUUAUUAAUUUGGUGUUGCAGGAAAUCAGGACUGUUACUUUGAAAAAAUUAGAGUGUUUAAAGCAGGCUUAGGCUUGAAUACAUUAGCAUGGAAUAAUGAAAUAGGACGUUUGAUCCUAUUUUGUUGGCUUCUAGGAUCGACGUAAUGAUUAAUAGGGAUAGUUGGGGGCAUUAGUAUUCAAUUGUCAGAGGUGAAAUUCUUGGAUUUUAUUGAAGACUAACUACUGCGAAAGCAUUUGCCAAGGAUGUUUUCAUUAAUCAAGAACGAAAGUUAGGGGAUCGAAGACGAUCAGAUACCGUCGUAGUCUUAACCAUAAACUAUGCCGACUAGGGAUCGGAUGGAUGUUAAUUUUUUAAUGUACUCAUUCGGCGUC
RNAcentral lists this ribosomal RNA (520 nucleotides) under uncultured Glomus. RNAcentral's name for it is "SSU rRNA". It matches the Rfam family "Eukaryotic small subunit ribosomal RNA", at positions 569 to 1087 of the family's 1831-position model. Lineage: Eukaryota; Fungi; Glomeromycota; Glomeromycetes; Glomerales; Glomeraceae. The record is from RNAcentral.